AUGGUUAAGAAAUGAAUAUUACCGUAUAAGGUUCACAUUUUUUAUUUUUUAUGACGUAUAAGGGUUCAAGUUGAAAUGGCCAAUCCUCUAAAAGAUGCAAAGAACAAGGUCAUUGAUUUUUUUUGUUAUUUUUUUAAACAUGAUCAUUAAUCAAUUCAAUGACAAGAAGGAAUCAAGGCCAAAGAAAAUCUUUUAGUAAAUAAACUUAGAUUUGCUUUUAUCUUCUUUUGUUUAACAGGAACAUUUUGUCAGUAUCAAAAUAUAUAAAACUGAGUGGCUUCCCAAAUUUCCAUU
Molecule: long non-coding RNA, 294 nt
Filed under: Prunus persica (peach)
Lineage: Eukaryota; Viridiplantae; Streptophyta; Magnoliopsida; Rosales; Rosaceae
Description: long non-coding RNA (PPER_LNC001552)
Source: RNAcentral